ACUGACCGCUAAGGCUAGAAAAGCGUGGGGGAGCAAACAAGGAUUAAAUACCCUGAUAUUCCACGCAGUAAACGAUGCCUUAUAGGGUGUCUGGGAUUAGAUUUCCUCGGUGCUGAAGUAAACACAGUAAGUAUGCCGCCUGGGGAGUACGCUCGCAAGAGUGAAACUCAAAGGAUUUGACGGGGACCCGCACAAGCAGUGGAGUAUGUGGUUUAAUUCGAAGCAACGCGAAGAACCUUACCAGGUCUUGACAUCUGGGUGUAAGCACUAGAGAUAGUGCCCCUCUUUGGAGCACCCAAGACAGGUGGUGCAUGGUUGUCGUCAGCUCGUGUCGUGAGAUGUUGGGUUAAGUCCCGCAACGAGCGCAACCCUUGAUUUUAGUUGCCAGCAUGUAAUGGUGGGCACUCUAAGAUGACUGCCGGUGACAAACCGGAGGAAGGUGGGGAUGACGUCAAAUCAUCAUGCCCCUUAUGACCUGGGUUACACACGUACUACAAUGGUCGGUACAACGGGAAGCGAAGCCGCGAGGUGGAGCCAAUCCUUAUAAGCCGAUCUCAGUUCGGAUUGCAGGCUGCAACUCGCCUGCAUGAAGUCGGAAUUGCUAGUAAUCGCGGAUCAGCGUGCCGCGGUGAAUACGUUCCCGGGUUUUGUACACACCGCCCGUCACACCACGAGAGUUUACAACACCCGAGGUCGGUGGGGUAACCCGCAAGGGAGCCAGCCGCUGAAGGUGGGGUAGAUGAUUGGGGUGAAGUCGUAACAAGGUAGCCGU
RNAcentral lists this ribosomal RNA (772 nucleotides) under uncultured Paenibacillus sp. RNAcentral describes it as "bacterial SSU rRNA". It matches the Rfam family "Bacterial small subunit ribosomal RNA", at positions 739 to 1503 of the family's 1533-position model. The record is from RNAcentral. Lineage: Bacteria; Bacillati; Bacillota; Bacilli; Caryophanales; Paenibacillaceae.